UACGAAGGGGGCUAGCGUUGCUCGGAAUCACUGGGCGUAAAGCGCACGUAGGCGGCUUCUUAAGUCAGGGGUGAAAUCCUGGAGCUCAACUCCAGAACUGCCUUUGAUACUGGGGAGCUCGAGUUCGGGAGAGGUGAGUGGAACUGCGAGUGUAGAGGUGAAAUUCGUAGAUAUUCGCAAGAACACCAGUGGCGAAGGCGGCUCACUGGCCCGAUACUGACGCUGAGGUGCGAAAGCGUGGGGAGCAAACAGG
Molecule: ribosomal RNA, 253 nt
Filed under: uncultured bacterium
Lineage: Bacteria
Description: partial 16S ribosomal RNA
Rfam family: Bacterial small subunit ribosomal RNA
Source: RNAcentral